UGAGGAAUAUUGGUCAAUGGACGGAAGUCUGAACCAGCCAAGUAGCGUGCAGGAUGACGGCCCUAUGGGUUGUAAACUGCUUUUGUAUGGGGAUAAAGUCAAUCACGUGUGAUUGUUUGCAGGUACCAUACGAAUAAGGACCGGCUAAUUCCGUGCCAGCAGCCGCGGUAAUACGGAAGGUUCGGGCGUUAUCCGGAUUUAUUGGGUUUAAAGGGAGCGUAGGCCGGACAUUAAGUGUGUUGUGAAAUGUAGACGCUCAACGUCUGACUUGCAGCGCAUACUGGUUUCCUUGAGUACGCACAACGUUGGCGGAAUUCGUCGUGUAGCGGUGAAAUGCUUAGAUAUGACGAAGAACUCCGAUUGCGAAGGCAGCUGACGGGAGCGCAACUGACGCUGAAGCUCGAAGGUGCGGGUAUCGAACAGGAUUAGAUACCCUGGUAGUCCGCACAGUAAACGAUGGAUGCCCGCUGUUGGUACCUGGUAUCAGCGGCUAAGCGAAAGCAUUAAGCAUCCCACCUGGGGAGUACGCCGGCAACGGUG
This 540-nucleotide ribosomal RNA is filed under the name uncultured bacterium. Its description in RNAcentral is "bacterial SSU rRNA". It matches the Rfam family "Bacterial small subunit ribosomal RNA", at positions 355 to 896 of the family's 1533-position model. The record is from RNAcentral.